CUUGCGUGUCGUGUGUAAAAUUUUAUAAGGUGCAAAGCAGAUCAGCAGUUUGAAGUUUGAACUUGUCGAUCCUUUUUGCCAUGAAACUAAAAUUAUUUUCUUGCGCAAUUGUCCUUGCCUGCAUGUCAAGCGUGCAAGCGAUUAAUGGAGACUUAGCAGCCCAAGGGGAAUUUCCAUAUGUGGGGUCCGUGCGCCUGCCAAAUUUUCCAGUGGGGACAAAUAAUUACUGCACAGCGAUAGUUUUGAACAAGGAUUGGGCUCUUGCACCAGAUAACUGCGCAAGACUUUUGCAAGGCAGCCGAUGAAAUUCAUCUGGGCUCUGUGAAAUUGCCUUAUUAUACACACAUUGUCGCUACCAAAAUAACUCACCCCGAUUACAACUAUCCUUUGUAUAACGCCAAUUUGCUUCAGGUGACGACGCCAUUUGAUCUUUCUGAUCCAGCAAGAGUUUCUCCAGCAAUCUUGCCCGACGCCUCCUUCACAGUCCCUCUUGGUUCCCAAGGUUUUAUUGCUGCCUACGGCGCCGACCCUAAUGAUCAACAGGACGAAAACAUGAGGAAGGUACAAGUGACGGUGGUGGACAACAGCGAGUGCGGUUAUAGCGGCGAGAGUUUAUUGCUUUGUGCCAAGGCUGCUGUUGGAGGAGCGUGCAGUUGGGAUUUGGGCGCUCCUUUGACAGUAAACGGCAUCGUCGUUGGCUUCUCAACUUCCGAAGGAUGCCAAGGGACUCCGUUCUUAUUGGUCGCGACUGCUCCGCUAGUUGACUGGAUUAAUUCAAAUGUGAAUUAAAAAUCUUUAUUGAAUUUAAAAACAACAAUUUUAAUACGAUUUUGAUGAAAAGAAACCUUGCGAUAAAUAAAUCAAACGUUUAAUAUACUUAAUAAUUAACGGCUCCAGUUCGGCGAGUAGGUUUAAGUUGGAAACACUUUUGCUUCCAAAUUGAGCCUAUGAGUUUUAGUAAGUUGUUUACUAGAGCUGGCUGCCAAUUCUCUCCCAAUGUGAUUUUUCUAAUUCUGUUUGACUUUUUGCGAGAGAAUUAAUGAAUUGAAUAGUUUUAUACGUAAUUAUUAUGGUGUUGUCGCGUUGAAGGAGUG
RNA transcript from Neocloeon triangulifer, 1094 nucleotides. It is a transcript of the gene named chymotrypsin-2-like, with no coding region annotated. Lineage: Eukaryota; Metazoa; Arthropoda; Insecta; Ephemeroptera; Baetidae. The transcript has 8 exons. The record is from RefSeq and is a predicted model, not a curated record.